Humulus lupulus (European hop) is the source of this 719-nucleotide long non-coding RNA. RefSeq lists it as uncharacterized. The record is from RefSeq and is a predicted model, not a curated record. The transcript has 3 exons. Lineage: Eukaryota; Viridiplantae; Streptophyta; Magnoliopsida; Rosales; Cannabaceae.
ACUCUGUUUAUUUUUUUUUGUUACAUAUUGUUUUUAAGCUGCUGAAAUAUUGUUUAUUUUAGUAUUUUAGUAGCUGAAUUUAAGAUAGAAUGAGCGGAAAUGAUGAUGAUUAUGAAAAUGAUGAUUUUUUUGGACAUUUGAGUUGGAAUAUGUUUCUUUAUGUUAGGUUUGAACCAUUAAUGAAUAUAGUUUAUGAUUUUAAGACUCGUAACAAGUAAUUUCAUGAAUUUUAUGGUUUUAUUGUAUCAUUUAAUUUUAAUUUUGUAUUAAUAUUUUAGGUAUUGAUUAUAUUCUUUAGGUUGUGGAUCGAAUUGGCAAGGAGCAUUGCAAAGUUAAUUAAGUUGAUUAUUAAUUGCAAGAGGUUAGCCAAUAAAAUUAUAUAGUUUGAUGUUGGUGUUGUGCCUGGUGCUUAUUUAUUUCGUCCUAACUAUGCGAUUCUUACUAUACGAGAGGCUAUUGGUUCAACAGUUGCAUGGCCUUCUCAAAAGGUUAUUCCAAGAGAUUCAACAAGUGAAGUGCAAAAGAAAAUCUGAUUUGGAAGGCUUUGGUGUGCUGACAUUUGGAAGAUUAUGAAUUCCUACCUUUACUUUUGAAUAUGCAACUACUUAAGACUAUUUUUUUGACUAUUGUGGGAAUGUUUUGUUUAUGUUAAUUAAGCAGUGUUGAAUAUUUUCAGACUUUUGUAUUGUUUUUUAGAUAAUCUUGAAUGUAUUUUGACA